UCCGGUUUGGCACCGGCAGUCUCCGAUGAGUCCCCGGCAUUACCCGCUGGCAACAUCGGACAGGGGUUGCGCUCGUUGCGCCACUUAAGGCAACACCUCACGGCACGAGCUGACGACAGCCAUGCAGCACCUGUGCGGGCUCCCGAAGGAGCGCCGUGUUUCCACGGUUUCACCCCGCAUGUCAAGCCCUGGUAAGGUGGGGAUGACGUUCGAGAGUACGUCC
RNAcentral lists this unclassified non-coding RNA (223 nucleotides) under uncultured Actinomycetes bacterium. Its description in RNAcentral is "uncultured actinobacterium contains 16S-23S intergenic spacer region". The record is from RNAcentral. Lineage: Bacteria; Bacillati; Actinomycetota; Actinomycetes.